AACGAACGCUGGCGGCAUGCUUAACACGUGCAAGUCGAACGGCAGCACAGUGUGUAGCAAUACACAUGGGUGGCGAGUGGCGGGCGGGUGAGUAACACGUAGGAAUCUACCCUAAAGCGGGGGACAACCCGAGGAAACUCGGGCUAAUACCGCAUAAUCUCUGAGGAGAAAAGCUGGGGCAACCUGGCACUUUAGGAGGAGCCUGCGUCUGAUUAGCUAGUUGGUAGGGUAAGAGCCCACCAAGGCGACGAUCAGUAGCUGGUCUGAGAGGAUGAUCAGCCACACUGGAACUGGGAAACGGCCCAGACUCCUACGGGAGGCAGCAGUGGGGAAUAUUGGACAAUGGGGGCAACCCUGAUCCAGCAAUGCCGCGUGUGUGAAGAAGGCCUUCGGGUUGUAAAGCACUUUAGUUGGGGAAGAAGGUUUGCAGUUUAAGAGGUAGCAAAUUUGACGGUACCCAAAGAAUAAGCACCGGCUAACUCUGUGCCAGCCGCCGCAGUAA
RNAcentral lists this ribosomal RNA (502 nucleotides) under uncultured bacterium. RNAcentral's name for it is "partial 16S ribosomal RNA". It matches the Rfam family "Bacterial small subunit ribosomal RNA", at positions 29 to 523 of the family's 1533-position model. The record is from RNAcentral.